Molecule: ribosomal RNA, 1174 nt
Filed under: Sesame phyllody phytoplasma
Lineage: Bacteria; Bacillati; Mycoplasmatota; Mollicutes; Acholeplasmatales; Acholeplasmataceae
Description: bacterial SSU rRNA
Rfam family: Bacterial small subunit ribosomal RNA
Source: RNAcentral
GGCAUCUUCUUGUUUUUAAAGACCUAGCAAUAGGUAUGCUUAGGGAGGAGCUUGCGUCACAUUAGUUAGUUGGUGGGGUAAAGGCCUACCAAGACUAUGAUGUGUAGCCGGGCUGAGAGGUUGAACGGCCACAUUGGGACUGAGACACGGCCCAAACUCCUACGGGAGGCAGCAGUAGGGAAUUUUCGGCAAUGGAGGAAACUCUGACCGAGCAACGCCGCGUGAACGAUGAAGUAUUUCGGUACGUAAAGUUCUUUUAUUAGGGAAGAAUAAAUGAUGGAAAAAUCAUUCUGACGGUACCUAAUGAAUAAGCCCCGGCUAACUAUGUGCCAGCAGCCGCGGUAAUACAUAGGGGGCAAGCGUUAUCCGGAAUUAUUGGGCGUAAAGGGUGCGUAGGCGGUUAAAUAAGUUUAUGGUCUAAGUGCAAUGCUCAACAUUGUGAUGCUAUAAAAACUGUUUAGCUAGAGUAAGAUAGAGGCAAGUGGAAUUCCAUGUGUAGUGGUAAAAUGCGUAAAUAUAUGGAGGAACACCAGUAGCGAAGGCGGCUUGCUGGGUCUUUACUGACGCUGAGGCACGAAAGCGUGGGGAGCAAACAGGAUUAGAUACCCUGGUAGUCCACGCCGUAAACGAUGAGUACUAAACGUUGGGUAAAACCAGUGUUGAAGUUAACACAUUAAGUACUCCGCCUGAGUAGUACGUACGCAAGUAUGAAACUUAAAGGAAUUGACGGGACUCCGCACAAGCGGUGGAUCAUGUUGUUUAAUUCGAAGGUACCCGAAAAACCUCACCAGGUCUUGACAUGCUUCUGCAAAGCUGUAGAAACACAGUGGAGGUUAUCAGUUGCACAGGUGGUGCAUGGUUGUCGUCAGCUCGUGUCGUGAGAUGUUGGGUUAAGUCCCGCAACGAGCGCAACCCUUAUUGUUAGUUACCAGCACGUAAUGGUGGGGACUUUAGCAAGACUGCCAGUGAUAAAUUGGAGGAAGGUGGGGACGACGUCAAAUCAUCAUGCCCCUUAUGACCUGGGCUACAAACGUGAUACAAUGGCUGUUACAAAGGGUAGCUGAAGCGCAAGUUUUUGGCGAAUCUCAAAAAAACAGUCUCAGUUCGGAUUGAAGUCUGCAACUCGACUUCAUGAAGUUGGAAUCGCUAGUAAUCGCGAAUCAGCAUGUCGCGG